ACGGGUGAGUAACGCGUGGGAACGUGCCCUUCGGUUCGGAAUAACUCAGGGAAACUUGAGCUAAUACCGGAUACGCCCUUUUGGGGAAAGGUUUACUGCCGAAGGAUCGGCCCGCGUCUGAUUAGCUAGUUGGUGAGGUUAUGGCUCACCAAGGCGACGAUCAGUAGCUGGUCUGAGAGGAUGAUCAGCCACACUGGGACUGAGACACGGCCCAGACUCCUACGGGAGGCAGCAGUGGGGAAUAUUGGACAAUGGGGGCAACCCUGAUCCAGCCAUGCCGCGUGAGUGAUGACGGCCUUAGGGUUGUAAAGCUCUUUUCUCCGGGACGAUAAUGACGGUACCGGAGGAAUAAGCCCCGGCUAACUUCGUGCCAGCAGCCGCGGUAAUACGAAGGGGGCUAGCGUUGCUCGGAAUCACUGGGCGUAAAGGGCGCGUAGGCGGCUGAUUUAGUCGAGGGUGAAAGCCCGUGGCUCAACCACGGAAUGGCCUUCGAUACUGAUUGGCUUGAGACCGGAAGAGGACAGCGGAACUGCGAGUGUAGAGGUGAAAUUCGUAGA
RNAcentral lists this ribosomal RNA (557 nucleotides) under uncultured bacterium. RNAcentral describes it as "bacterial SSU rRNA". It matches the Rfam family "Bacterial small subunit ribosomal RNA", at positions 102 to 694 of the family's 1533-position model. The record is from RNAcentral.